RNAcentral lists this ribosomal RNA (492 nucleotides) under uncultured bacterium. Its description in RNAcentral is "partial 16S ribosomal RNA". It matches the Rfam family "Bacterial small subunit ribosomal RNA", at positions 29 to 507 of the family's 1533-position model. The record is from RNAcentral.
AGUGAACGCUGGCGGUAGGCCUAACACAUGCAAGUCGAACGGCAGCACAGUAAGAGCUUGCUCUUACGGGUGGCGAGUGGCGGACGGGUGAGGAAUACAUCGGAAUCUACUUUUUCGUGGGGGAUAACGUAGGGAAACUUACGCUAAUACCGCAUACGACCUACGGGUGAAAGCAGGGGAUCUUCGGACCUUGCGCGAUUGAAUGAGCCGAUGUCGGAUUAGCUAGUUGGCGGGGUAAAGGCCCACCAAGGCGACGAUCCGUAGCUGGUCUGAGAGGAUGAUCAGCCACACUGGAACUGAGACACGGACCAGACUCCUACGGGAGGCAGCAGUGGGGAAUGUUGGACAAUGGGCGCAAGCCUGAUCCAGCCGUACCGCGUGGGUGAAGAAGGCCUUCGGGUUGUAAAGCCCUUUUGUUGGGAAAGAAAAGCAGCAGGUUAAUACCCCGCUGUUCUGACGGUACCCAAAGAAUAAGCACCGGCUAACUUCGCG